This 253-nucleotide ribosomal RNA is filed under the name uncultured bacterium. RNAcentral describes it as "partial 16S ribosomal RNA". It matches the Rfam family "Bacterial small subunit ribosomal RNA", at positions 524 to 776 of the family's 1533-position model. The record is from RNAcentral.
UACGGAGGGUGCAAGCGUUAUCCGGAAUCAUUGGGCGUAAAGGGUGCGUAGGCGGAAUGGUAAGUCAGAGGUGAAAUCCCUCGGCUCAACCUGGGAACUGCAAUUGAUACUGUCAGUCUUGAGUAUAGUUGAGGUAGGUGGAAUGUAUCAUGUAGCGGUGAAAUGCUUAGAUAUGAUACAGAACACCGGUGGCGAAGGCAGCUUACCAAGCUAUAACUGACGCUAAUGCACGAAAGCGUGGGUAUCAAACAUG